Molecule: long non-coding RNA, 236 nt
Filed under: Elaeis guineensis (African oil palm)
Lineage: Eukaryota; Viridiplantae; Streptophyta; Magnoliopsida; Arecales; Arecaceae
Description: long non-coding RNA (EGUI_LNC054488)
Source: RNAcentral
AGAUCACCAGAGUAACUUACAAGCAACUCACUGUACUUUGAUGUCGGACUGUCUAAAUUUCUGAUUCAAUGAUGGAAGAUUUCUAGGUGCAGUCAAGUACUUGUAAAAUUGGUACUUGAGUCAAGAUGAGAUUGAUCCCUCCAAAUAAGUAGGAGUUAAUACAUCAUUAUAUUUUAAUUUAAUAAAAUCUGAGUCUGAAUAAUCCAUGUGAUGGAUUUGAAAGAUUGAAAUACAGU